RNAcentral lists this small nuclear RNA (92 nucleotides) under Microcebus murinus (gray mouse lemur). The record is from RNAcentral. Lineage: Eukaryota; Metazoa; Chordata; Mammalia; Primates; Cheirogaleidae.
GUGUUAAGUACAUAUACUAAAAUUGGAAUGACACAGAGAAGAUUAGCAUGGCCUCUGCGCAAGGAUGACACACAAAUAAAAAAAACAGUAUU